Molecule: ribosomal RNA, 465 nt
Filed under: Vreelandella stevensii
Lineage: Bacteria; Pseudomonadati; Pseudomonadota; Gammaproteobacteria; Oceanospirillales; Halomonadaceae
Description: partial 16S ribosomal RNA
Rfam family: Bacterial small subunit ribosomal RNA
Source: RNAcentral
CCUACGGGCGGCAGCAGUGGGGAAUAUUGGACAAUGGGGGCAACCCUGAUCCAGCCAUGCCGCGUGUGUGAAGAAGGCCCUCGGGUUGUAAAGCACUUUCAGUGAGGAAGAACGCCUGGUGGUUAAUACCCAUCAGGAAAGACAUCACUCACAGAAGAAGCACCGGCUAACUCCGUGCCAGCAGCCGCGGUAAUACGGAGGGUGCGAGCGUUAAUCGGAAUUACUGGGCGUAAAGCGCGCGUAGGUGGCUUGAUAAGCCGGUUGUGAAAGCCCCGGGCUCAACCUGGGAACGGCAUCCGGAACUGUCAAGCUAGAGUGCAGGAGAGGAAGGUAGAAUUCCCGGUUUAGCGGUGAAAUGCGUAGAGAUCGGGAGGAAUACCAGUGGCGAAGGCGGCCUUCUGGACUGACACUGACACUGAGGUGCGAAAGCGUGGGUAGCAAACAGGAUUAGAUACCCUGGUAGUC